GGAAACACUUUAGUUUACACUCUGCCCAACAUGGAGGAGGACAACGCUGCCGCGGCUCUUGAUAGCAUUGUGACUGAAUUUCAUUCGUAUGAAGAUUUUCUUGAUUCUCAGAUUACUUCUUUGGAUCUAUACUAUCUAGAGGAUGAGGAGUUGGCACGCCACCUGGUGGAGCUGGGAUACAGAGGCAGCGGGGAGGUGCUCAAGAGGGAGGAGUUUGAGACCAGGAAGGCCGCCGCCGAAGCUUCCCGCCUCAACAAGAGGAGCCAGAGACAGACGUUGGCAAGCGCAGGAAAGGAGCUCAAAGAUAACUUCCUGAAGGCACUGGCGGAGCGCGAGGAGGCCAACCGCAGCGCCAGGAUGACUUUUCUACAACUGGGAGACACAGGUGUCCACCUCAAAUGCUAGCGCCAAUUACCAGGUGAUAGCAGAAAACUCCACUGGACUGCUCUUCAAAAACAAACAAGAUCGUAAAAUUCUCAACGUAGACCCCAAGGCUUCCCCUGGUGAUAACUCUUCCAGAACCCCCCUGCAGUCGGACCUCUACACUCAAGUCGUCAUCUAUGACCACAUCACCCGGAGGAAAACCUAGAGCCAAUGGCCGGCCAGCACUCUGCAAUUAAAGCCCUGUUAAACCCA
This is an RNA transcript of Alosa sapidissima (American shad), 636 nucleotides long. It is a transcript of the gene named cilia and flagella associated protein 299, with no coding region annotated. Lineage: Eukaryota; Metazoa; Chordata; Actinopteri; Clupeiformes; Clupeidae. The record is from RefSeq and is a predicted model, not a curated record. The transcript has 5 exons.